Molecule: long non-coding RNA, 354 nt
Filed under: Brassica napus (rape)
Lineage: Eukaryota; Viridiplantae; Streptophyta; Magnoliopsida; Brassicales; Brassicaceae
Description: long non-coding RNA (BNAP_LNC021673)
Source: RNAcentral
AAGAGCUUCAUCUUUCACUUCGACAGUAGCUUGUUGGUACUUGUUGGUGCUCAUAUUUAUGACUUGUCCCCUACUUACUUUAAACUUUCAUUUAACUAUUCAUACUAAAAUUUUCAUAUCGUGGGGGUUGAUUAAAAAUACCUGUUAUUACAUACAAAUAGUGUGAAAAGAGGGAGAAAAUGAAAUAAUGAGGGUAACAAGAAAGAGGAAGGUGGUGUCUUCUUUCUCUUGAUAGAUUUGGAACAGUGACACAUUUCCUUUAACUCUCCAUUGAUAUUGACCGUCCCUGUUUUUUAACCAUCAACAUCUUCUCUUCCCCAUCUAACUUAACUAUCAAGUGUAUCUCCAUCCACA